RNAcentral lists this ribosomal RNA (435 nucleotides) under uncultured bacterium. RNAcentral's name for it is "partial 16S ribosomal RNA". It matches the Rfam family "Bacterial small subunit ribosomal RNA", at positions 29 to 507 of the family's 1533-position model. The record is from RNAcentral.
AGCGAACGCUGGCGGCAGGCUUAACACAUGCAAGUCGAGCGCAUCACUUCGGUGGUGAGUGGCAGACGGGUGAGUAACACGUGGGAACGUACCCUUCGAUCUGGGAUAACUUCGGGAAACUGGAGCUAAUACCGGAUACGCCCUUUUGGGGAAAGGUUUACUGUCGAAGGAUCGGCCCGCGUCUGAUUAGCUUGUUGGUGGGGUAACGGCCUACCAAGGCGACGAUCAGUAGCUGGUCUGAGAGGAUGAUCAGCCACACUGGGACUGAGACACGGCCCAGACUCUUACGGGAGGCAGCAGUGGGGAAUAUUGGACAAUGGGCGCAAGCCUGAUCCAGCCAUGCCGCGUGAGUGAUGAAGGCCUUAGGGUUGUAAAGCUCUUUUGUCCGGGACGAUAAUGACGGUACCGGAAGAAUAAGCCCCGGCUAACUUCGUG